CGUUCCCGGGCCUUGUACACACCGCCCGUCAAGUCAUGAAAGUCGGUAACACCCGAAGCCGGUGGCCUAACCGCAAGGAAGGAGCCGUCGAAGGUGGGAUCGGUGAUUAGGACU
RNAcentral lists this ribosomal RNA (114 nucleotides) under uncultured bacterium. Its description in RNAcentral is "partial 16S ribosomal RNA". It matches the Rfam family "Bacterial small subunit ribosomal RNA", at positions 1369 to 1482 of the family's 1533-position model. The record is from RNAcentral.